RNAcentral lists this ribosomal RNA (467 nucleotides) under uncultured bacterium. RNAcentral describes it as "partial 16S ribosomal RNA". It matches the Rfam family "Bacterial small subunit ribosomal RNA", at positions 28 to 506 of the family's 1533-position model. The record is from RNAcentral.
GACGAACGCUGGCGGCGUGCUUAACACAUGCAAGUCGAACGGAAAGGCCCUGCUUUUGUGGGGUGCUCGAGUGGCGAACGGGUGAGUAACACGUGAGUAACCUGCCCUUGACUUUGGGAUAACUUCAGGAAACUGGGGCUAAUACCGGAUAGGAGCUCCUGCUGCAUGGUGGGGGUUGGAAAGUUUCGGCGGUUGGGGAUGGACUCGCGGCUUAUCAGCUUGUUGGUGGGGUAGUGGCUUACCAAGGCUUUGACGGGUAGCCGGCCUGAGAGGGUGACCGGCCACAUGGGGACUGGGAUACGGCCCAGACCCCUACGGGAGGCAGCAGUGGGGAAUAUUGCACAAGGGGCGGAAGCCGGAUGCAGCAACGCCGGGGGCGGGAUGACGGCCUUGGGGUUGUAAACCGCUUUCCCCUGUGACGAAGCGUGGGUGACGGUAAUGGGUAAAGAAGCACCGGCUAACUACGU